This is a long non-coding RNA of Nelumbo nucifera (sacred lotus), 3011 nucleotides long. RefSeq lists it as uncharacterized. NCBI's taxonomy places the organism in Eukaryota, Viridiplantae, Streptophyta, Magnoliopsida, Proteales, Nelumbonaceae. The record is from RefSeq and is a predicted model, not a curated record.
CAUACCUCCCCCGCCACCUAUAAUCUCUCUACUUCUUCUCGAUAACCCAUCAUCAAUCCUAACUAUAAGUACCAGACCUUUUUUUUUUCCUUUUCUUUUUAUUUUUGACCCCACUGGGCCCCACUCCGUUUCCUCUUCCCCCCUUUUCCCCUCUCCCUCUUCUUCUUUCCUUUUCUCUUCUCCUCCUCCCUCGACACUUCUCUUCACCCGUAUUUCUGUCCAAAUCUCCCUCCCUGAUUCCGCUCCACCAUCUUCUCCUCUUUCUCACCAAUUUCCUUCCUUCCGUUCUAGUUUUCCCAUCUCUUCCUCUCUCCUCCCAUGCCCCCCCCCUCUUUCCAUUUUCAGCAGGAAGCCCUAAUCUCUUCCUACCAAAAAGCUUUUAAACCCCAAAAGGGAGGCGCCUUGCAAAACAGAGAAUGCACCAUUGUCUAAGGAACACUUUAUCCUCUCAGCAUCCAGUUCUGUUUAAAUUGUAGCAAUCAUUCCCUUUCUCUUUCACUUCAUUGGGGCAACCACUGUCUCAACCAUCCACUCGGCUUCACAACAGGGCUGCAAUCAGCCCACCAUUGAUUCGACAUAUCAGAGCAUAGACGCGAAUCCGACAUGAAUGGGCUGACGAAACACACCUCUGUUCGCUCCAUUUGAUCUCGGAGAGAAAAGCUUCAACCGAUUGCAUAUUCUAUCAUCAUCGUACUUGCAAAGGGAGAAGAAACCUAAUGUUAUCUAAACAGGAAAGUACUAAAUUCCCUAUCUAUUGUGAUAUUUUUUUCAUGAUCUAUUCUGUCUAGUAGAAUGAUUUGAUUAGUUUAUCCUUGAAACAUCUGAGAAACACAUGCCUGAUUUGUUCCUUCCUUCAUAUUAGCAGAAUCAGACCCGAAUCAUUAAAGUCUUUGUUGUCUGAACUAGCUAUUUAACUUCAUCUAAUAAACUGCCAUUCAUUACUGAUUCAAUAUUAGCAUUUAAUUUUUCCUGUACAAAUCAUCUCAGUCUUACCUCAUUCUAUCACUUCUUGAUAAUUGUAGCAGUCGUAACUCUCGUACUACUUGGUUAAAGUCUAUCUUGUGAAUUCUGUUAGACACACAAUUGUUAUAUCUUUGUUUUAUUGACUAGUUUAUUUAAUCUUACUUGAUUUCCUCCUCAAGCACUUUAGUCAUUAUCAUCACUGCUCAUAUUCUUCUUGUUGUUAGCUUGUACUGCUGAAUCAUUGUGUUGUUGGAGCUAUUCUUUAUAGCACUAAACCAUUAUAUUUUACUGCUGAAUCAUUGUCUUGCUGGAAGUAUUCCUUAUAGCACUAAACCAUUAUAUUUUACUCAUAGCUUGUCUCUAGUUUCAUUCUUGUUUGUGACAUAUAUCUCUAUUGUGUUGGUAUUCUGGGUAUCUUCUGUACCCCAUUCCAUCAUUCAAGAUCAUUCUCUUUUGACUGAAAAUGAGUUGGGGAGCUCAUCAAUUUAGAGAAACACUUGGAAAUGGAGGUAUGAGGAUUACUAUAUUCUACAUCUAUCCUUAGAUGUCACUCCCCUGAAUAUUAAUUUAGGAACUUGAAUAUCUUUGAUUGCUCUGCUCCAAAUGAGAAGUCCAAGAGAAUCAAUAUGAUUGCAGAUAAUCUCGUUGGAUCCACUACAACAAGACCUCCCAAAGCAUCUCCCAACUCUUUAAAAACUGUUAGACACCAAGCAAGAAGAGGAACACCGAUAAUUCAAACCCACCAUCUACCAUGAUAGCAUAUGUACUCAUGGGCUCAUGCAUGGCCCAUGCACGAGUUCUGCUUGAAUGGACUCUAGGCCAACUCCUCUCAAGAGACCAAAUCGUAUGGACUCUUGUAGAUAACCUUUUUAUCUAGGAUAACCCUUCUUCACAUCUAGGAUAACUCUCUCCUAGUUUCUAUCCUAGAUAACUCUCAUCUAACCUAGAUAAUGUAAAACUCUUACUAAUCUUAUCUCUUGUAAACCUAGUGUAAUGGAUUCUUUCUCUAUAAAUAGAAUGGCAAUUGGCUCUACCUAGGUAAGGUCAGCCAAAUUAUUUUUUAUCAGUCUCAUUUAUUAUUCUUUCUCAGUUAUUAUUUGUCGUUCUUUUUAUUGUUAGUAUCUUUUAUUUCUUGCUGUUCUAACUUGGUAUCAGAGCUAUGUCAACCAAAACCGGAACACACGGCAGCAGUCCAACUCCCUCCAACAAUGGUCAUUUGUCAACGACUAGUUCGCUCCCUUCAAUCCAAAACGUGACUCACUAUUUACCUGUCAAACUGGGCAACAACAACUACCUAUUAUGGAAUGCCCAAUUCCUUCUUAUUCCGUGGCAUCAUAAUCUCAUGGAUUUUGUUGAAGGGAAGAAGAAGCCCUGCCUGAAGUUAUUCCAAAUCUAGACGGAGUAAUGGCUCAAGUGUUGCAACGACAACUGCAAAGUUUCAGAAAGGUAGAAUAACUACAAUUGCAAUGACAAUUGCAACGACACACGGAAAGAUGCGCAUCUUACAAAAGUGCUUUUAGCAAGAAAUUAAGUCAGCAAAAGUGCUAAUGCUUUGCAAACUCACGUUUACAAAGCAAUCAUGGAAGAGAAGUCGAAGCAAAGAAGCUCCCAUUCACAUUUCUUUCUUCAUAGUUGUGGUGACCUCAUUCCGAACAAUCUUGAGCAGAGGUGGGCAUUUUCUUCAUAGCUGUGGUGACCUCUAUCUACAAUUGAUGAACCUGUUCUCAAAUCAGAAUUAGUCAUCCACAUUCUUCCUGGGCUAGGGAGUGAGUAUGAAUCUGUAGUUACUCACCAGCCGACAUGACACAGCUGAUCUUGGCAUUGCGGAUAUUCCUUAAUCAAGAGAGUUGGCUUGAAGAACAGUCCCACGUCUCUGAUCCUUAGAAUGCCAACCUUGCCGGUAUUACUUCCAAAUAUAAAGGUAACUUUCAAAAAUCUCCACAACAAUUUUCUCCGACAUCCAAUAAUAAUAGAGGUAGGAAGGCUAAGACAAUUUUUUAUAUUGAAUUUUCUCUUAAUUAUUCAGUAAAGAAUUAUUCUUCCUAGUA